UACAGAGGGUGCGAGCGUUAAUCGGAAUUAUUGGGCGUAAAGCGCGCGUAGGCGGCUUUGCAAGUCGGGUGUGAAAUCCCUCAGCUUAACUGAGGAAGUGCGCUCGAAACUGCAGAGCUUGAAUACCAAAGAGGAUGGCGGAAUUCCCCAAGUAGAGGUGAAAUUCGUAGAUAUGGGGAGGAACACCGGUGGCGAAGGCGGCCAUCUGGGUGGUGAUUGACGCUGAGGCGCGAAAGCGUGGGUAUCAAACAGG
This 253-nucleotide ribosomal RNA is filed under the name uncultured bacterium. RNAcentral describes it as "partial 16S ribosomal RNA". It matches the Rfam family "Bacterial small subunit ribosomal RNA", at positions 524 to 776 of the family's 1533-position model. The record is from RNAcentral.